AUGGCUUCCUCAACCGAGAGACCCCACAAUUCAAUAGGAGCAGAGGAGAAGCGAACUGUGAAGGCCCGGCUCCUGUCUUCACAGAUGCUUCUAGUGGAUGCCCUCUAUCACCUGGGCCCUCUGCUAGACAGUGUUAUAUCUGCAGGGCUGCUCUCUAGAGAAAACCGGUAUGAAAUUGAUGCUGAGCGAACGCCGCCCAACAAAGUCCGAAAGCUUCUGGAGAUUGUUGACGCACAGAUGGACGAAAGUGGUGCCUCUAGUUUCAUGGAGUGUCUGAGGAAAUGCAAGAAACAUUACCCGCGUCUACGAACCUGGUUGACCUCAGAAGAAGAUCACUCCCAACCCCCAGAUAUUAAGCAAGGUCCAACAGAACGUCAGCUACAGGCCCAGUUUAAUGUUCUGUGCUCACGCUUGGGCUGUUCGGUUCUGCCGGUCUCCUACGAUCUCUUCUCCAGAGGCGUCCUGACUCAGCUGGAACUGGAGAAAAUCCAAGCAAUACUCGUCCCAACGCAGCAAGCACAAACUCUGCUGUCCAUCUGCCUGAAGAAAGGAGAAAAAGCAUGCACAAGCUUUUACACAGCGCUACAGAAUGAGGACGAGCAACUUGCUGAGGAACUUAAUAUAAAAAGUUUGGCUGAAGACCUUAACAAAGAUCCUGAAGGCAGAAUCAUUCCGAUAGCAGUGGAGGAAACUAGAGGUCACUUGAGAGGAGCUUUACACCUGUCAGGAGGCCUGCAGCAGGUCAUGACUCAGCUGGGCUUGACUGUGGGGGAUGAGAUUAGGUUUAAUGUCUGUGAGGUUGGUGUGGCGGUGGGUUUGCCACGCCGGACGGUCAGAGAGUACCUUCUGGAAGGGGUUGGGAUUGAAGACUCAGCCCAGCUGGAGGCCCUAGUGUCCCUGUAUAUAGAGAAGACACAGGACGCUGACAGACUCCUGAGCAGAGUGACACAACUCAGCCCUCGGUGGGUCCAGGUCUCAGAGAGGGGAUGUCUGCUGUUGAGGUUGCUGCAAAAAGCCGAGACUGUUCUCCGUAGUGGUAUCCACAGUCACCGGCACAGUUGGGACCACCUGCACGAUGAGGACCACUUACGCAGCUGGGACCACUCGUGUCCUGAUGACUGCACGGAUCAGCGCACUGUGUGGGCCAUCUUCAGCUUUCUGGUGUGGGACUGCAUGGCAGAGGUUCUGGAGGAGCCGGAGGCGAAGCCUAGCGGAGGCAUACUAGGUAUGAUCGAGCAGCUGAGCACCAGCGGCAGAGUGGAGGCCGCACUGCUGCAGGAAAUGGAGCAGUGCUGGACCGACGGGGACGCUGAGAGUCUGCUGCAGAGUGUGAGGGUCCUCGCUCAGGUGCUACGGGACCUGCAUCCCCUCCAGGAAGGCCUCCAGCUGUCCUCUUCAGUUGAGGGGUUGUUUUCCUGCAGGCCCAGCAGGGUACACCGGGUCACUUCCUUCCAGGGGGUUUCUGUGCGGGUCAUCCGUAAAGCUCUGAGCAGCAUGGUUCCAUCCUCUGCGGACCAGGACACAACUCUUCUUUCUAGACAGUACUUGGAGGUGUGCGUUCGAAUCGCACGUCUCCUAGAUGUAGUGCAGCCCAAACGAACCACUGUUGACUUUUCAAAUGCGCCCAUUGCUACGGUCAUUCAGCAUGUGCGGUUUGUUUUGUCAAAUCCUGCUUUUAACUCUGAAGCUUUUGACGCGGGAGUUCGCCAUCGCUUACUUUCAGUGUUGGAGUUCAAUCCUGCGCAGCUGGGCUUGGGCUCUCUCAUGCAGCUCCACCAGGAGACCCUCUCCGAAUUCCAGAGCUACUUACAACUCGGCGAGCACCACAACUUCCAGUUUAUUCUCGAAUCAGUACGAAUACUUGGUCCCGCGAAGUUGUUUUCUCUCAGCAGGGUUCAUGGGCCUGUCGCAAUCGACAAUGGAGUGGAGGAGGUCCUUCGUUUUAUCACGUCAGAACCCACUUCAUUCCUGGUACGACUGCACUGCCUUUGCUACGAAGAAGGAAGGGGGCACUUUAAGGUGUGUGCACCACGUUGUGCAUGUAUGUAUCUGCUCAAGGCAGAAGGGCUGCGUGACAUGCAGUGGUGCGGUGGCAACGUUCUGGCUGAGGUAGGCGGGAAAGUGUGGGUCAGAGAGGGAGAAAGUAAUGGCUGGGAUGAGCUCCAGGCGCUGGCUCAGAGACACUCUGCUCAGCUCAAGGAUGAAGGAUGCUGCUUUAAGGUCGAGACCUCUGGAUUGGAGUGCGAGGUCAAAUUUAUAUACAGGAGUGGCAGGCUAUGGGCAGUGCCACAUAGGGACUGUGAGGUAGUUUGA
This is a long non-coding RNA of Carassius auratus (goldfish), 2313 nucleotides long. The record is from Ensembl. NCBI's taxonomy places the organism in Eukaryota, Metazoa, Chordata, Actinopteri, Cypriniformes, Cyprinidae.